GAACGCACAUUGCGCCUCCUGGUAUUCCGGGAGGCACGCCUGUCCGAGCGCCAUUACACCCCCCAAGCCUUGCUUGAUGUUGGGCCAUGACGCGCUGUCAAGCCCCAAACCUUUAGGCGCCCCCUACUGGCCGCGAGCGUAGCAAGAAUUUAUUUCCCUCGUUCCGCGUGUCCAUUGGGUGGGUCGCCGAUUGACCCCCUAAAUUUUACAAGGUUUGGCCUCGGAUCAGGCGGGGAUACCCGCUGAACUUAAG
This 253-nucleotide unclassified non-coding RNA is filed under the name uncultured fungus. Its description in RNAcentral is "sequence contains 5.8S rRNA gene". Lineage: Eukaryota; Fungi. The record is from RNAcentral.